CCCCCAUCCAUGUGUGUAGGACUUCAAAGGAUCAUCAUUAAAUUUGGUACGGAUCUUUAAAAAAGUUAUCACAUGGGUAUGAAACUUGACUUUUAUAGAGAUCUGUAUCAAAUUUAAUGGUGAUCCUUUGGGGUCCUACACACAUGGAUGGAAG
This 154-nucleotide microRNA precursor is filed under the name Amborella trichopoda. RNAcentral's name for it is "MIR8565 microRNA precursor family". It matches the Rfam family "MIR8565 microRNA precursor family". The record is from Rfam by way of RNAcentral. Lineage: Eukaryota; Viridiplantae; Streptophyta; Magnoliopsida; Amborellales; Amborellaceae.